GCCUGGCAGCGCCGCCCCCGAGCGGGGGGCUUGCUUGCUGGAGGCGGGGCUGCCGGGUCU
This 60-nucleotide non-coding RNA is filed under the name Sus scrofa (pig). Lineage: Eukaryota; Metazoa; Chordata; Mammalia; Artiodactyla; Suidae. The record is from RNAcentral.